AUACGUAGGGAGCGAGCGUUGUCCGGAAUUACUGGGCGUAAAGGGCGCGUAGGCGGCGCUUCAAGUCGUCUGUCAAACAAUAAGGCUCAACCUUAUUUUGCAGACGAAACUGUGGCGCUGGAGAAGCAGAGAGGCAAACAGAAUUCCUGGUGUAGCGGUGAAAUGCAUAGAUAUUACACAGAACGCCGAUUGUGAAGACACCUCACGAAGCGGUAACUGACGCUGAGGCACGAAAGCGUGGGGAUCGAACAGGAUUAGAUACCCUGGUAGUCCACGCAGUAAACGAUGAUGACUAACCGUCGGCGAUAGACCGCCGGUGGCCAAGCGAAAGCGAUAAGUCAUCCACCUGGGGAGUACGACCGCAAGGUUGAAACUCAAAGGAAUUGGCGGG
Molecule: ribosomal RNA, 391 nt
Filed under: uncultured bacterium
Lineage: Bacteria
Description: partial 16S ribosomal RNA
Rfam family: Bacterial small subunit ribosomal RNA
Source: RNAcentral